AUGCACCUAUUAUGUGGGCAUGGAAGGAAAAUUUCUUCUAAACUUUCUCCUGAUAUUCCUGUUUUCUGGGCAGGUAAAGAAAGGAAACAAGCAAGGAGGAAUAGCAUCAACAAGAAGCUCAGGAUGGACAACUGUUUAAAGGGGGAAAUGCUGGUUAAAUCAAGGUCCAGAUUAAAAAUGUGGAUGUCUUUCAUUUCAUUCUCUUGCCUAAUUGUUCUGGCUAGCACAUGCAGUUGAAUACAAGUGGUAAGAAUAUGCAUUAUUAUCUUGUUCCUAAUCGUACAGGAAAAGCUUUCAACAUUCCAUCAUUGAGUAUCAUGUUAGGUGUGAGCUAGUGAUAUAUGGCUUUUUUUUUUUUUUUUGGUACAUUCCUUCUAUAAGUAAUUCAUGGAGACUUUUUAUUAAAAAAGCAUUGAAUUUUGUAAAUGCUUUUUCUGCAUCUGUUGAGAUGAUCAUAUAAUUUUUGUUCUUUCUUUUCUUAAUGUGGAGUAUUUUGUUUAUUUGCGUAUGUUGAAUUAUCUUUAUAUUUCAGGGGUAAAUAUCACAUGACAUAGUGUAUGGUCCUUUUAAUGUGCUGUUUAACUUAGUUUGCUAGUAUUUUGUUGAAAAUUUUUGCUUAUAUUUUCAUCAGGAAUAUUGGCAUGUAGUUUUUUUUUUUUUUUUUUUUUUUUUUGUAUUGUGCUUGCCUAGUGUGGUUAGCAUAAUAAUGCCAGCCUUGUAAGUUUUACAACCAUAAAAAUAAAGAUUAUUACAUGUUAUUUAUUGCCUUAUAGGGCAAGCAGACAUAAUAUUCAGGACGAUAGACUUAAGAAGGGAAAUACAGGGACGGGCGCGGUGGCUCAAACCUGUAAUCCCAGCACUUUGGGAGGCCGAGGCAGGUGGAUCAUGAGGUCAAGAGAUCGAGACCAUCCUGGUCAACAUGGUGAAACCCCGUCUCUACUAAUAGUACAAAAAAUUAGCUGGGCAUGGUGGUGCAUGCCUGUAAUUCCAGCUACUCAGGAGGCUGAGGCAGGAGAAUUGCCUGAACCCAGGAGGUGGAGGUUGUGGUGAGCCGAGAUUGUGCCAUUGCGCUCCAGCCUGGGUAACUAGAGCGAAACUCCGUCUCAAAAAAAAAAAAAGGGAAAUACAAUGGAAAUGUAUACUGCUACAAUGAUUCUACAUUUUACCAGAAGUAACUUAAAAUUAUCCACAAGUAGAUUGGCUAGGUAUAAGCUACAUAUAUAAUUUCUGGUUUAACCAUUAUAUGCAGAGAUAGAAAUAGAAAGCAAGUGAAGGUAUUAAAAUGGCACUUAAAAUUCAAUAGAUUGAUAUACAAAAGAAGGCAAAAAUAAAAUAUGAAAGAGAAAAAGAAAACUAAAUGAGAAAAUUAAAAAGCAAAGAGUAAAAUAGCAG
Molecule: long non-coding RNA, 1392 nt
Filed under: Callithrix jacchus (white-tufted-ear marmoset)
Lineage: Eukaryota; Metazoa; Chordata; Mammalia; Primates; Cebidae
Description: lncRNA (ENSCJAG00000070216.1)
Source: RNAcentral